RNAcentral lists this ribosomal RNA (253 nucleotides) under uncultured bacterium. Its description in RNAcentral is "partial 16S ribosomal RNA". It matches the Rfam family "Bacterial small subunit ribosomal RNA", at positions 524 to 776 of the family's 1533-position model. The record is from RNAcentral.
UACGGAGGGAGCUAGCGUUGUUCGGAAUUACUGGGCGUAAAGCGCGCGUAGGCGGCUUUGUAAGUUAGAGGUGAAAGCCCGGGGCUCAACUCCGGAACUGCCUUUAAGACUGCAUCGCUUGAAUCCGGGAGAGGUGAGUGGAAUUCCCAGUGUAGCGGUGAAAUGCGUAGAUAUUGGGAGGAACACCAGUGGCGAAGGCGGCUCACUGGACCGGUACUGACGCUGAUGCGCGAAAGCGUGGGGAGCAAACGGG